GAGCUUGCAGUGCCAGAGAGAAGAAUAUCAGCGCAGCUAGGAGUUGUCCGUUAAGAUUUAAAGUUGAAGUUUAGUUAACAUGUCUUAGCCAUUUAGAUUGCUGUUUGAUUCAAGAAGUGUGCGUUCCUAAAACAACCACACACACAAGAUAUAGUCCUUUCAUCAAACCCAAAGGCAAUCUCAGUUGUAAAUCAUGCCUCAAGAAUAAAGGAUAUUCACUUUGGAAGAUCACAGAUUCAUGUGCAUUCAUAUUAAGGGUUCUAACCGACUCUCCACAGAGUUCUGAAAUAUUCCAAUCAGCAUACUUAAACACUCUAAAACAAAACUGGAGUACAAUAAUGAAGACGAGGACCUUGUCAUCUCCUCGCCUCGUCAGAAUUGGUUGUUAAGACCCUGAUCCAUCACAACAUUGUGCUCUUUCACCUGCCUGUUUGCCUUUUUUUUUUUUUUUGGCUUUAUGCCUUUUAAUGAUAGGACAGUGGAGAGUGACAGGAAGCGAAUGGGAGAGAGAGCAGGGGUGGGAAUCGAACCCGGGUCGCCGGUGUACGGUGCAGGUGCCCCAGCCAGUUGGGGCCGGCCGUUUGCCUUUUUUUAAAGUCUUUCAUUUACAGUUUGUUUGAGGAGACACUGUGAGCAUGUGAGUGUUCUGAGCAGCAGGUUGUGAGCAUCUCUGUUUCUACUCCCAUAUGGCACACUUAGUUAGUGUGCCUUAGUUCUACUGGGGUCGUUCUCGCUCUCUCUCUUUCUCUCCAUCUCUCUAUUUUUCUCUCUCUUUUUAAAUCAUUUUUACUUUCCACCAUUAAUUUAUGCAGCAAUGUUGUCUGCAACAAAGACUGACACAAUGAAAAAAUGGAGAUAAUAAAACUUUUAUUUGUUGAAA
Long non-coding RNA from Alosa sapidissima (American shad), 880 nucleotides. RefSeq lists it as uncharacterized. The transcript is spliced from 2 exons. The record is from RefSeq and is a predicted model, not a curated record. NCBI's taxonomy places the organism in Eukaryota, Metazoa, Chordata, Actinopteri, Clupeiformes, Clupeidae.